This 363-nucleotide unclassified non-coding RNA is filed under the name soil metagenome. RNAcentral's name for it is "partial contains 5.8S ribosomal RNA, internal transcribed spacer 2, and large subunit ribosomal RNA". The stretch from base 1 to 120 matches the Rfam family "5.8S ribosomal RNA", at positions 35 to 154 of the family's 154-position model. The record is from RNAcentral.
GAUGAAGAACGCAGCGAAAUGCGAUAAGUAAUGUGAAUUGCAGAAUUCAGUGAAUCAUCGAAUCUUUGAACGCACAGUGCGCCCUCCGGCAUUCCGGGGGGCAUGCCUGUCCGAGCGUCACGAAAACCCCAUCACACUCGUUGUGGUCAUGGCUGCAGUGAGUCGUCUCCAGCGGAGAGGGUCACGCCGCUGAAAGGAAUGGUGCGGAUGAGUUCCGAUGGCCGAACGUAGUACUUGACAACCGUCGGCCGAUGGGACCCUCCAUCUCGCCCUGACGACGUACCCCCGUCGUACCCCCGAUCAGGUGGACCUCGGAUCAGGUAGGGAUACCCGCUGAACUUAAGCAUAUCAAUAAGCGGAGGA